AAGACAACUAGUAGCAGGUGUGUCUCACCUGAGGUCCGCUGUCGGCUGAUCUGAUUGGUGGCUCUGAUAUCAUGUAAGGCCCCGCCUCCAUCUCACUGAGAAACCCCCCCCACCAAUGAAUCAGUCAGUUAAUCAAAUCAGUCAAACAUCAAUGGUUGAGAUGUAUCUGUGUAUCUGUGUGGCGUCCAUAGUCACGGCAACUCACCCUGGCGGCGGUGGCUCGUUGUGAUUGGCCAAGUGCCGUGGCUCCGCCCGGUGUCGUUCAGGGGUGGGGUCAGGAGAGAUUGACACCUCAGGUGGUCCAAUCGGUGGGGUCUGAAUGGGCAGGCUUUGUGUCAGGGUGACGGAAGGAGGAGUGAGGGGGUCCAGCUGGCGAGCGUUGGCCAAUAGGGGGUCCUGCUGGCGAGCGUUGGCCAAUAGGGGGUCCUGCUGGCGAGCGUUGGCCAAUAGGGGGUCCUGCUGGCGAGCGUUGGCCAAUAGGGGGUCCCUGCUGGCGGCGUUGGCCAAUAGGGGGGUCCUGCUGGCGAGCGUUGGCCAAUAGGGGGUCCUGCUGGCGAGCGUUGGCCAAUAGGGGGUCCUGCUGACGAGCGUUGGCCAAUAGGGGGUCCUGCUGGCGUGAGCUGGCCAAUAGGGGGUCCUGCUGGCGAGCGUUGGCCAAUAGGGGGUCCUGCUGGCGUGAGCUGGCCAAUAGGGGGUCCUGCUGGCGUGAGCCGAGGGUUCUGAAUGGCUGAGGCCGUGCUGGGGGCGGGGCAGACUGCUGCAGGGUUUUGUUUCGUGCUGGUUUGGUGUAACCAGACUCAUUCUUAAAGUUAUUCACUGCCUGAGGGGAGAGAGAGAGACACCGAGAGAGAGGGGAGAGAGAGAGAGAGACACACACCGAGAGAGAGGGGAGAGAGAGACACACCGAGAGAGAGAGAGAAAGAGAGAGAGACACACACCGAGAGAGAAAGAGAGAGAGAGAGAGAGAGACCGAGACCGAGAGAGAGACACACCGAGAGAGAGACACACCGAGAGAGAGACACACCGAGAGAGAGACACACCGAGAGAGAGACACACCGAGAGAGAGACACACCGAGAGAGA
This 1081-nucleotide long non-coding RNA is filed under the name Salmo salar (Atlantic salmon). RNAcentral describes it as "lncRNA (ENSSSAG00000083967.1)". The record is from RNAcentral. Lineage: Eukaryota; Metazoa; Chordata; Actinopteri; Salmoniformes; Salmonidae.